AAUAGAUACCCCGGUAGUCCAUGCCGUAAACGUUGGGCACUAGGUGUGGGGCUCAUUCCACGAGUUCCGUGCCGCAGCAAACGCAUUAAGUGCCCCGCCUGGGGAGUACGGCCGCAAGGCUAAAACUCAAAGGAAUUGACGGGGGCCCGCACAAGCGGCGGAGCAUGCGGAUUAAUUCGAUGCAACGCGAAGAACCUUACCAAGGCUUGACAUGCACGGGAAGCCACCAGAGAUGGUGGUCUCUUUGGACACUCGUGCACAGGUGGUGCAUGGUUGUCGUCAGCUCGUGUCGUGAGAUGUUGGGUUAAGUCCCGCAACGAGCGCAACCCUGUCCCAUGUUGCCAGCGGGUUAUGCCGGGGACUCAUGGGAGACUGCCGGGGUCAACUCGGAGGAAGGUGGGGAUGACGUCAAUCAUCAUGCCCCUUAUGUCUUGGGCUUCACGCAUGCUACAAUGGCCGGUACAAAGGGCUGCGAUACCGUAAGGUGAGCGAAUCCCAAAAGCCGGUCUCAGUUCGGAUUGGGU
Molecule: ribosomal RNA, 524 nt
Filed under: uncultured bacterium
Lineage: Bacteria
Description: bacterial SSU rRNA
Rfam family: Bacterial small subunit ribosomal RNA
Source: RNAcentral